ACUACCAAGGAUUCCCCUAGUACGGCGAGUGAAGCGGGAAUAGCUCAAAUUUAAAAUCUCAUAGGUUUCCUAUGCGAAUUGUAGUUUAGAGAAGUGUUUUCUGUAGUAAGCUAGGCAAAAGUCCCUUGGAACAGGGCAUCAUAGAGGGUGACAAUCCCGUCUUUGGUCUAGUCUUUACUGCUUUAUGAUACACUUUCAAAGAGUCGGGUUGUUUGGGAAUGCAGCCCAAAAUGGGUGGUAAAUACCAUCUAAAGCUAAAUAACGGCGAGAGACCGAUAGCGAACAAGUACCGUGAGGGAAAGAUGAAAAGAACUUUGAAAAGAGAGUUAAAUAGUACGUGAAAUUGUCAAAAGGGAAACGCUUGAAACCAGUGAUGAUUUGAGAUAUCUUUAGUUCUUUUGGGAACUAGGGCUCUAUUUCAAGUCAAGUCCAUAUCAGUUUCUUUUGAGUGAAAAAGCUAAGGAAAGGUAGCCUUUGGGUGUUAUAGUCUUUAGUUCCAACUUGAAAGAGACUGAGGUCGAUAGUGUGAUCUUGGAGGAACUGGUCGCUCUUUGACUUUAAGUUAUAGACAACAUGUUGACUAUGAUUUACGGAAGGAGACACGGCUAGCUACUACUUUUACACUUUGGAUAUGGACGAAAUGGUUUUAAACGACCCGUCUUGAAACACGGACCAAGGAGUCUAACACAUAUGCGAGUAUUUGGGUGGUAAACCCUUAUGCGUAAUGAAAGUGAUAAGGUGGGAUCUUUAUUGUGCACCAUCGACCGGUCUGGAUAUUUUUUGAAAGAUCUGAGUAAGAGCAUAUUUGUUGGGACCCGAAAGAUGGUGAACUAUGCCUGAAUAGGGUGAAGCCAGAGGAAACUCUGGUGGAGGCUCGUAGCGGUUCUGACGUGCAAAUCGAUCGUCAAAUUUGGGUAUAGGGGCGAAAGAC
RNAcentral lists this ribosomal RNA (931 nucleotides) under Mesochytrium penetrans. RNAcentral describes it as "eukaryotic LSU rRNA". It matches the Rfam family "Eukaryotic large subunit ribosomal RNA", at positions 64 to 931 of the family's 3401-position model. The record is from RNAcentral. Lineage: Eukaryota; Fungi; Chytridiomycota; Chytridiomycetes; Mesochytriales; Mesochytriaceae.